GAUGAACGCUGGCGGCGUGCCUAAUACAUGCAAGUCGAGCGAACGGACGAGAAGCUUGCUUCUCUGAUGUUAGCGGCGGACGGGUGAGUAACACGUGGAUAACCUGCCUAUAAGACUGUGAUAACUUCGGGAAACCGGAGCUAAUACCGGAUAAUAUUUUGAACCGCAUGGUUCAAAAGUGAAAGACGGUCUUGCUGUCACUUAUAGAUGGAUCCGCGCUGCAUUAGCUAGUUGGUAAGGUAACGGCUUACCAAGGCAACGAUGCAUAGCCGACCUGAGAGGGUGAUCGGCCACACUGGAACUGAGACACGGUCCAGACUCCUACGGGAGGCAGCAGUAGGGAAUCUUCCGCAAUGGGCGAAAGCCUGACGGAGCAACGCCGCGUGAGUGAUGAAGGUCUUCGGAUCGUAAAACUCUGUUAUUAGGGAAGAACAUAUGUGUAAGUAACUGUGCACAUCUUGACGGUACCUAAUCAGAAAGCCACGGCUAACUACGUG
Molecule: ribosomal RNA, 497 nt
Filed under: uncultured bacterium
Lineage: Bacteria
Description: partial 16S ribosomal RNA
Rfam family: Bacterial small subunit ribosomal RNA
Source: RNAcentral